RNAcentral lists this ribosomal RNA (502 nucleotides) under uncultured bacterium. Its description in RNAcentral is "partial 16S ribosomal RNA". It matches the Rfam family "Bacterial small subunit ribosomal RNA", at positions 28 to 507 of the family's 1533-position model. The record is from RNAcentral.
GAUUAACGCUGGCGGCGUGCCUAACACAUGCAAGUCGAGCGGCAGCGCGCUUUUCACUGAAUUCUGGAGGCUUCCAGUUGAAAGAGAAGAUUUAUUCUAGAAUUUUCUGUAAAUUGUCGGCGAGCGGCGGACGGCUGAGUAACGCGUGAGAACGUACCCCAAAGCGAGGGAUGCCGCAGCGAAUGGUGUCCUAUUACCGUAUAUGGGCUGCGGAUUAACGCGUUCGGGCGCUAUGGGAACGGCCUGCGUAAGAUUAGAUGGGUGGUAGGGUAAUUGCCUACCAAGUCGACGUACGUGACCUGGUUUGAGAGGAUGAUCAGUCAGACUGGAGAUGAGGCACAGUCCAGACUCCUAGGGAAGGGAGCAGAGAAGUAUCCACCACAAUGGAGGAAAGCCUGAUGGCGCAACGCCGGGGACAGGAUGAAGGCGUUCGGGUUGUGAACUGCUUUUAUAAGUGGCGAUUAUGACGGUAACUUAUGAAUAAGGACCGGCUAACUACGUG